Molecule: long non-coding RNA, 1116 nt
Filed under: Dasypus novemcinctus (nine-banded armadillo)
Lineage: Eukaryota; Metazoa; Chordata; Mammalia; Cingulata; Dasypodidae
Description: lncRNA (ENSDNOG00000051013.1)
Source: RNAcentral
CUGCACCGCUGGGGCUGCGGCUCCAGCCGCCUGCUCUGGGCUGGUGGGGGGCAGUGUGGCCCAGCCCCCACUGCCAGGAGGGCCACGGGGAGCCUUGGGUGUUGGGUCUGAGGCGAGGAUGAGGAGCUCUGGGGCCAACAGGGUCCUCCUCGCUUAGAAGAUCGGAUGGAAAAAAAAGAUCAAAACGAAGUGUCUGCGUCCCCGCGGUGGGACAAGUGGACAGAGUGGGCUGGGGACAGGCCACCCCACGUGCCCGCUGGACACCAAGCACCCCCAGCCCCCAGGGCCUCUGCCCUUCCUGCUCACAGGGCCCUCCCCUCGCCUCCCGCGUCCCCAGCCCCCGUGGCCCUGUCAGCCCCGUCCUGGGCCCUCCUGCCCCUAGUGACCUGCUGCCCACAGGGCCCCCUGGGCACAGCGUGGCCGGGGCCUACAGAGGCAGAGGGUCGGGUGGCCCAGAGGCGAGCCUGAGCCUCUGGGUGUGCUUGCGGGGGGGGAGGGGCUUCGGGCAGCUGGGGGGAAGGGGCUGCCCCCUGGCCCCAGAGGCUCAGGAGAACCAUGGCGGCUCCACCCACCACUGCCGGGCAGUUGGCCCCCUCCCCAGGAGGAAACGGGGGCAGGGGCGGGUUUGAUGGGUGCUGCGGGGUGCAACCCGAUCGGGAGGCUAUCGCGGCGGGCUCCCUCCCAGGACACCCGGCCAGCCGCCCCGAGGCAUCUCCGGGGCAUAAAGGCCGGGAGGCUCAGGCCACCCCAGCUCUCCUGCUCCGUCCUGUGCCGCCGCCGCCGCCGCCGCCGCCCUCCGCCAUGCUGCAGGCUCUGCUGACCGGCUCGCUCCUCGGCCUGCUCUGCGCGGCCCCAGGCCAGGCCGAGGUCCCCGUCCAGCCCGACUUCGACGCCAGCCAGUUCCAGGGCGCCUGGUACGUGGUCGGGAUGGCCUCGGACGACCAGACCUUCCUGGACUCCAGGGACAACCUGAAGAUGCCCGUGGUCUUCGUGACCCCCUUGGACAACGGCGACCUGUCCUUAAAAUUUGGGUACCCCACGUAAGUGACCCACGAGCGCCUCCCCUCCUGGGCCAGAGGUCAGCCGGGAGGAAGGGGCCCACAGCUCAGAACAGGC